GUAGCUGGGACCACAGGUGUGCACCAUCACGCCCAGAGUCGGGGGUCUCCCUAUGUUUCCCAGGCUGGCCUCGAACUCCUGACCUCAAGUGAUCCUCCCACCUCAGCCUCCCCGAGUGCUGGGAUUAAAGACGUGAGCCACGGCACCUGGCCUGAAUUUUCCUCAAAUUCAAAAAAUCCUGAUGAAGGUUUGGCUAAAAUCUUUGGUGAGUUACCCCACUCCCUGUGGAACCUCAGGCUGGAUUUGAAGAGUUGCGUGCAUGGUCCUCAUUGUCUCCCAGGUAACCUGUUCCCGCUGCUGUGAAGGGAAGGCAGGUGCUCUUCCUUGAGGCUAGAAUCUGUCUACGUGUCACAGUCUCAGGAAAUUAAGCAAAACAGAUGAUAAACACCUCAAAAGGACCCUACUGAGCAUCAGUGGAGCAGAGCAGGGCCAUGUGGGACUGCGGCGUCAGAUGCCACCUCACACUAGCUGUGACACACCUGCCUCGCCAGUUUCUGCUCUGAGGCCCCAAAGCCGAGCUGAACCUCCUCCAGGGGUUCUCAGCCCUAACUGAGCAUGAAAACCCCUGGGGCAAUCCUCUUUUUAACAAUUGAGACAUUCCACACACACCCCACAUCAGAUUUUGGGGUGUGGGGAUAGACCUUCACAUUUGUAGUUUUCUAACCCUCCAGGGGACACUAGGCUGAGACUCAUUGGUCUCCACUCUGAACCUUCCACUGAACAUGUGAGAAAAACUAAGGCCCAGGGAAGUCUUUAGCAGAGAGCUGAGACGGAGAAAAGGGUUCUGAACCACAGCUGUCUGCUGAAGGAAGCUGUCCAAAGGCCAGUGAAGUCUCUCCUGAGGGUGCCUGGGCUGUGCAUCAGGAGUGAAGGUUGAGGGUCACCUUAGGUGUGAGAAGGAGCAACUGGGAGAGUGGCGCUGAUGCUUCCCCCCGGGUUAGGAGGCAUUUGGAUCACAGAGCGAUGCCUGUUCAUUCCUGCUUGCAAGGGAGCAGAUCUCUCGACACCCGAUGGGCCUCUAUUCCGUUCCGGCAGCUGUCCGUGUCAGGAGCGCUGGGCUUGCUCCUCCCCACGGGAGCCAUCACAGAGGCCUCGGGCAGUCUGCAUAGACAACUGCCUGGCAGGUGACCAGGAGGGGAUGCAUGAGCAGAUGCAGGUAGCACUCGCAGUCCCCCUAGCUGUGCCCUCAGCACCUGCUGUCUAGGAGGCAGAAGCCUUGUUCUCGGCCUUGCAGGUGACCCCAGUGUCUCUGAAUUCGGCCCCAUAUGUGUAGGAGGGGAGUGAUUGCAUCUGAAGAUGGGAGUCUGGUUGGGGGUUUGGGAAGCUCCCAUCACCCCUCAAGAGUCCACUGACCAGCCCAGCUCACACCAGGUGGGCCUUGGCACUGGAGGCCACGGCUCAACUCUGCAGUUCCCUCUGGGCAGCAUUUCCAGGGACUCGUAGGUCAGCAUGGUCAUCAAGGACAGGUGGUGAGAGCAGCUCCUCAUUGUCCUGGUGACCCCGAUGGUUCAUUUUCUGGUGUCUCUGUGGUGAGCUCCUGUUACAUCAAGCGAGUGGAAACCACCGAGGACCAACAGCCCUGGAAAUGCACUGAGAAUGCAGGAUGAGUGGGCUUUGUGAGGACUGUUUUCUGUGACUUAGCAAGGAAAGCCUGGAAGGGAAAGUAAAACUGCUUCUUCCCAGGGAAGCCAGAAACCUGAGAACUUAAAAGGGAAGGAGAACUUAAUAUAUUUCAAAAAUGUAACCCUUGUGAAUUAGCAACAGCUUUAUAAACAAAGAGAUUUCCGAGCUUAUAGAAUCUAUUCUGCUUUGUUUCUGCCCCCAUGGCUCCUACCCCUGUUUUUGUGGGUACAAUUUUCAUAUAGAACAUUUUUACACAAGCUUCAAAACUCUCUGAGGACAGCUUUCCCCUUUGUGUCUGUCGGGUCCCAGGCAGUCACAUCCCAGGAAGUGCUGGGGUUGGGCUCCUUGCUCCACAUCCUUCUUCAGUGGCACGAAGCGUGGGGUGGAGUGUGUGAGUCAUGUGUGAUCUUGGUGUGGGCUAUGGCUGGUCUGCAGCACCCCUUCAAUGACUGCUUCAAGGGCUUUUCAUGAUGCUUGUAGCUCAUGAGCUAGUGUUUCCUAGAUGCUGUUUCCAGGUGUCUUGCAUGUCACACACUGGCCUACCAGGGCUGGAGUGAGAUCAUGAGCGCCAGAUUGUUGGUGAAGGAAGUUGACAGAGACAUCGAAUGUCGGUGAACAGGAGUGACCUUGGGUCUCAAUAAAUACUGUGGUCAACUGAAUCCAGAACCCACCCUUACCAGCAGGGCCCACUUCUUCCCCAGCAGGCCGAGCUCUUCCCCUCCUGUCUUCCCUGGCCCUUGCUUUGUAGCUCUGUGUGGCUGUGUCAUGUCUGGUUGUAUCUGUAUAUACUUCUGCCUCUCCCGCUAUCUAGAUGGCUCGGGGAGGCACACCACACACCAGGUCACCUUCCUCUCUGAACCCCCAGCACCUCAUACUGUUUCUGUGCAGAGAUAAGGCUGGGUGAAAGCUUGUGUGAAUGAUCUGAAGUCUUCUACUCUAGGCCAGUCUCCAGGAGCAUUAUGAUCUUUAGGAGGGUGGGCUUGGUUCCUCUGUACAAUAAUGGGUCAUAAAACUGAGUGGUCAAGAUCAUCCCGGUGAGGGCAGUCCGUGUGUUGCCAUAGUUGCUGUACCGGUUAAGAAUGCACCUGGCUGCAAUUUCCUGAAAACCUGACGUAUAGUGGCUUAAACAAAGAGUGGUUUAUUUUCCUUCUGUCAUAGCAAUCUGGGGGAGGCCACUGUGGCUUUGGCGCAGGAGGUCGGGAAAGGCCCGCUUCUCUGAUAUCAUUGGGGGCCUCCCCAGUGCUUGUGUGGCAGAAUGACAAGAGGAAGAAGAAGGAGAAUUAUGGCACUGAGUAUCAUGAGAUUUGGGGUCAUAUAUCUUUAGUGGGCGGUGUUUGCUGCCCCAAAUGUCUCAUGCCAUUAAAAUGUUCUGGAAAUGAUUUAGGUAGUUGGAGUUUCCUUCCCAAAGACAAGGCAUUUACAGCAUGAUGUCCAAUAUCCAUUGAGUUUGUGUCAUGCAUUCAUUGUAUUCAUAGUCUGCUUUAGGUACUUAGCAAAAUAUUGCUGAUAUUAACAUGCCUUUGUUUGCUUCACUGGAGAUGAAAUUGUGCUCCAAGUGUUUUCCAAGGUUCCGUAUGACCCAUCAUUUGAUGAAACAAGAACAGCAGUCAGAUCCAUUACAAAGAGAGACACACAAAAAAACUAUGUGAAAAUGAGCUUAGCCCCUGGUGUUGUGUUGGAACUUCAGAUGCUUGCAGACACUUCAUGAAUGCUCUGUGACACUCAGAAUAGGCUAUUCCCAACAGAAGAGCUUGAACAAUGCUGCAUUUGCAUCAGGUUCAAAUGAGCGAGAGGAACAUUUGGCUAAAAUAUUUGGAACCAGCAUUGCUUGGAAUUCUCCUAAACCAGAAUAUUUCCUUGGCAGUGUGGACAAAAUUCCUGAUAAAGAUCACCUUUCAGAGGAGAAGAAUUUUAAAGAAUCCUGUCUGUUCGACAGGGAUUUAAGAGAGCAGUUAACUACUAUAGAUAAAGAAACACUUCAAGGAGCAGCUAAACCAGAUGCUCACUUUAGGACUAUGCCCUGCGGGCAGCUUCUGCACUUCCUGCAGAGGAACACCAUCAUCGCCGCCGUCUCAGGGGUGGCCAUCCUCAUGGCCAUCGUGCUGUUGCUGCUUGGGUUGGCCUCAUACAUCAGGAAGAAACAGCCAUCAUCUCCUCUGGCAAACACGACAUAUAAUAUUUUUAUAAUGGAUGGAAAGACAUGGUGGCACAAUUCUGAAGAAAAAAAUUUCACAAAACUUGCAAAAAAACAGAAACAGUUGAAGAGCAGCUCCUGUGUCUAAGCCAGGUCGUGGGGCCGUCAAACCAGGACUUGAAACCACAAUGCGAGGACAUUCUCCAUCUGCGCACCACAGGGAGGCAAUUCCAUUUCUGCCCGGGAGGUGUAUUCUACAAAAACGUCUGCUUCCCAUCCCAAUUUGAAUGGACCAAGAAAAACUGCUUUACCAUAGGACACUUGUGGCAAUAUGGCACCGAUGGCUGGCGUCGGUGAACCCGACAGACUAUGGAUUUAUCAUUUAAUAAAGCAUUGAUUCAUUUUUUCAGUCAUUCAUUGAACAGAUAUUAAUAGACCACCUCACAUGCUGACAAUAUCAAAAUACAAUGAGGAAACUAACAGUGACCCAGGCAUGCAUUCUUCCCCGAGCAAGAUCACAGUCCAUGGUGUGAGCACAACCAUACUAAAUAGCUUUUAUGGGAGGUGGGAGUACAGAAAGUAUUAUAUCUGCAAAGAAACUGCUAAGAAUUGUGGGAGCGCCCCAGGAGGUGAUUUCCUGCUUGCGUGACCAGCACAAAGAAAUGGGGUAAUUGAGAGUGUCAUGAAGUGGGGUUAUUUAUUUAUUGAGUCGGAGUCUUGCUCUGUCACCCAUGCUGGAGUGCAGUGGCGUGAUCUCAGCUCACUGCAACCUCCGCCUCCCGGGUUCAAGCGAUUCUCCUGCCUCAGCCUCCCGAGUAGCUGGGAUUAUAGGUGCGUGCCACCACACCCAGCUAAUUUUUGUAUUUUUAGUAGAGAUGGAGUUUCACCAUGUUGGCCAGGCUGCUCUCAAACUCCUGACCUCAGGUGAUCCCCCCGCCUUGGCCUCUCAAAGUGCUGGGAUUAUAGGCAUGAGCCACCAUGCCCGGCCCAUAGAAGUUUUCAGUUCAUUUAUGCACAGUUUAAGCUGAGAAUGUGAAAGGCUAAACUCAUCCCUUUCUUUCCCCACUUUCUCCAGCAACCAGCCAAUAUCAUACUCCUCAGUUUAAUUAAAAUGUUCUCAGAUAUCAUCAAACACGUGGGCACCCAGAACCUUGCCUUUUAUAUGUGUUUGAUUGAGAGUAUCCAAUGGUAAUAUUUUGUAUAUCUCUAUUGCCACAUCAUGCCAUGGAGUACCUAAAUGCCCUCUUGGCCACUGGAAAUAGAUUUAAGAUUCUGUUCCUCUCUUCUAGUACCAAAAUUUGGAUGAGUCAGGGUCCCAUGAGAGAAACAGAACUAGUAGGAGGAUAUAUAGAGUAGUAAGAGAUUUUUUUAACUUUUAAUUUUUGUGGGUACAUAGUAGGGGUAUGUAUUUAUGGGGUACACGAGAUAUUUUGAUACAGGCAUGCCAUGCAUAAUAAUCACGUGAGGGUGAAUGGAGUAUCCAAAACCUGGUGCAUUUAUCCUUCAUGUUAUAAACAAUCCAAUUAUGUUCUUUUAGUUAUUUUUAAGGUGCAAUUAAAUUACUAUUGACUGUGGUCCCCCUACUGUGCUAUCAAAUACUAGGUCUUAUUCAUUCUUUUAUUUUUUGUACCUAUUAACCAUCCUUACAUCUCCCCCACCCCCACUACUCUUCCCAGCCUCUGGUAACCACCCUUCUACUCUCUAUCUCCAUGAAUUCAAUUGUUUUAAUUCUUAGCUCUCAGAAAUGAUGAGCGCAUGCAAAGUUUGUCUUUCUGUGCCUGGCUUAUUUCACUCAACAUAAUGACUUCCAGUUCCAUCUAUGUUGGUGCAAAUGACCAUUUUUUGAAUGGCUGAAUAGUACUCCAUUGUGUAAAUGUACCACAUUUCCUCAUCCAUUCAUCUGUUGAUAGACUGUUGUUAGGUUGUUUCCAGAUCUUGGCUAUUGUGAAUAGUGCUGCAAUAAACAUGAGAGUGCAGAUAUCUCUUUUAUACACUGAUUUCCCUUCUUUUGAGUAUAUACACAGCAGUGGGAUUGCUGGAUUGUAUGGUAGCUCUAUUUUUAGUUUUUUGAGGAACCUCCAAACUGUUCUCCAUAGUGGUUGUACUAACGUACAUUCCAUACAUUAGCAAUAAUGUAUGAGAGUUCCCUUUUCUCCACAUCCUCGCCAGCACUUGUUAUUGCCUAUCUACUGGAUAUAAGGGACAAUUCUUCUCUAGAGCCUCUGAGGGGCCUGCAGCCCUGCUAACACCUCGGUUUCAGACUCUGGCCUCCAGAAUGUGACAGAAUAAAUUUUUGCUGUUUUAAGCCACUCGGUUUGUGGUUGUUAUGGCAGCCCUGGGAAAUGAAUACAUGGCCACACAAUCUUUUUC
This 6127-nucleotide long non-coding RNA is filed under the name Homo sapiens (human). RNAcentral's name for it is "HSALNT0304387". The record is from RNAcentral. Lineage: Eukaryota; Metazoa; Chordata; Mammalia; Primates; Hominidae.